UUGUUUGUUGAUAAAAAUCUGUAUGUGAAAGACUUGCUGGUCACCUAGGGAAAAGGCGGACGAGCCCAGUACAUAGGGAACUCUAUCGUGAACGUUACUUCAGUUGGACAGGACUGAGAAGUCCCUUACAAAAAAGAUUUGAGAGAUAUAGUUCACCUUCAUACCGACGAAGUAUCGAGGCAAUGAAACGUUUGGUGCCUAUUACCGAACGGUGUAUGGAGAUGGUCGGUCAAUUGUAAAAUUGGAUAUUGUGUUUAUGAAUAGGGGGGAUAUCCCU
Molecule: long non-coding RNA, 277 nt
Filed under: Carica papaya (papaya)
Lineage: Eukaryota; Viridiplantae; Streptophyta; Magnoliopsida; Brassicales; Caricaceae
Description: long non-coding RNA (CPAP_LNC010341)
Source: RNAcentral